UUGUGAGGGUCACCUGAGGGCAGACCGAGCACUUAUUUAUAUUUCUGCUACCAACACCAAGUACAAUGACUGAAACAUGGUAAUCUAUGUCUUUAUAAGUAAAGUAACACACACAAAUACUAUGGGGAUCUAUAAGAAGAAAUGUAGAGAGUGUGGCACUGCAAAUGCAACUUUCUCCUUUCUACAGCUAUAGAACUAAAAAAGAACACACAAAUGCGAGCUAAAAGCAGCAAACAGCAUUCCAAAGAAGCCCACCCAGGACCACCCUGUGGACCUGGACCUGGUGCUAGGUACCAGAAGAGGCUCACUGUGCUCUACCAGCUCCCCAUUUUACAACGGGUGAACUUGGGUGAGUUUUUCUUGGAACUCUGGACCACCCUGUUUUAAGUGUGCUCCCAGGAGACAAAGACUUCAAAGACUGCAACGGUACAAACAAGAGAUUUUGUCCAUUGGAAAAGACAUCAAUUAAAGACUCUCUCCAACCUUGUUGGAAGGGACCAUAUUGGGUAUUAUUAACUAAUCCAUGUGCAGCUAAACUUAAAGCUGUUAACUCAAAGAUUCACAUUCCUUAUUUUUUUAAAAAAAGUGCCUAACAGAGUGGACAUGUGCCCCUGUCUGACAUUCGCCUCGCCUGCAGUGGACAUCAAAGACUCCUCGAGGAUGAGAAGCCAAAAUCAGACAUAGACAGCUAUUGAGAAGGCCUGUAUACCUAUAUAACUGAUGUUGAACUUAAAACAAAAAAGAAGCAUUUGUUUGAUUGUCUUUACCUGUCUGAAAAUAUUAGCCAUAAUAAUAGUUAUACUUGUUCUUUGGGCUUUUCUCAAACUUUGUUCUUGUAUAGUCCAGCUGUUAAUAAUUGCUGAAGGUGAAUAAGAUAGUGUUUAUAUUAUCAAUAAUACACUUUUUACGGUUUCUCUUUUGAAAUUUAGAAGGAAUGUUAUCGCAGAAGGAAGGAAAGGGAUGUGUGUUUCAAGAGAAGUUAAAAGGAAGCAGUUUGUCUUAAUAAGUUGGUUAUUUCCAGAUGAAUAAAAAUGAGAAAAGUAAGGAAGACAAGAGCAGUUGUAGAAGGUUAGUGGAAAAGGAAUAUUAAGCAAGAAAUUUUAUGUAUAAACACUAGAACGCAAUUAUGGAAAUGUGCUUACCUCCUAACCCACCAAGGACUAACUAUAUUAAUUUAGAUGGAAGCUGAAGUGGCUUUAAAAAAAAAAAAAAAACUAACCCUCUGUAACAGCUACUAAGGCCCAGGAAAUCUACUUAUGAAAUUCUUACUGUCCUCCCGUCAUCUGGAAAUUUUUAGAUGGUAAUUGCAAUUUACACCACUGUAUUCUCACAGCCUCGACUCUGAUUAAACCUUAAAGUUACAGUUCCCCAUUGCGUAACUAGCAGGAAUCAGAUUUGAAUGAAUGACACUUGAGUGCUUCCAAUGGGAAGUAGAUGGUCCAUAUUAAAGUAAUAAUUACUACUACUACUACUAAUAAUACAAGUAAAUGGGAACCCAUCUCAUGGCCAGAUUGUGAAAACCAAAGAGGUAUAUGGUGUGCCCUCAAACUGUAAGUAAAUGUUAUAAUAGAUGCAAAAUACAGAAAAGUGAGACAGACAGCACAACUUGGAUCAUGUUAGUUUGUAGGUUAAAAAUGAUCCAGUGUUUUUUUUCUUAAUGAAGGUCCGUAUGACCUGACUGCCUCCCAUUUACCUGUCUUUCCUUUUUAAGAAAAUUUUGGCCUUGACUUCCAUCUAAGGUUAAGAUCUUGCCCCAUCCGCAGUGUUCACCAUUGCAGCAAGACAAAGGAGGACACAAAGACUUCCUAGGAAUGAGCGUUCCUAGCACUGUGGGACCACAUUAUCCCACCUAGAGGGUCAUGGCGGGUAGUCACAUCCUCGGCCUGUAGCUUUCUUGACAAAAAUCAAUAUUUAUCUUAAGUGAGCUUGACUAUUUUUUUUUUUCAUCUAAGAUAACAUACCUUUGAAAUGUCAGAGUAAUCUUUUCCAGACCCCUCAGGGAGACCACAGACCCAUCCCUGAACACCAUCUCUAUGGGCUGUAAAUGUUAAUUACUAACUAUCCUGUACCCACCAAUGUAAAUGAAGUAUGUGUCUCUGUUUUACUUUUUAUCCAA
This is a long non-coding RNA of Rhinolophus ferrumequinum (greater horseshoe bat), 2116 nucleotides long. RefSeq lists it as uncharacterized. The transcript has 4 exons. NCBI's taxonomy places the organism in Eukaryota, Metazoa, Chordata, Mammalia, Chiroptera, Rhinolophidae. The record is from RefSeq and is a predicted model, not a curated record.